CCAAUAGCGUAUAUUAAAGUUGUUGUGGUUAAAAAGCUCGUAGUUGAACCUUGGGCCUGGCUGGCCGGUCCGCCUCACCGCGUGUACUGGUCCGGCCGGGCCUUUCCCUCUGUGGAACCUCAUGCCCUUCACUGGGUGUGACGGGGAAGCAGGACUUUUACUGUGAAAAAAUUAGAGUGCUCCAAGCAGGCCUAUGCUCGAAUACAUUAGCAUGGAAUAAUAAAAUAGGACGUGCGGUUCUAUUUUGUUGGUUUCUAGGACCGCCGUAAUGAUUAAUAGGGACAGUCGGGGGCAUCAGUAUUCAAUUGUCAGAGGUGAAAUUCUUGGAUUUAUUGAAGACUAACUACUGCGAAAGCAUUUGCCAAGGAUGUUUUCAUUAAUCAGAAACGAAAGUUAGGGGAUCGAAGACGAUCAGAUACCGUCGUAGUCUUAACCAUAAACGAUGCCAACCAGCGAUUAGCCUGAGUUCCUUAAAUGACUCGGCGAGGGACUUCCG
RNAcentral lists this unclassified non-coding RNA (496 nucleotides) under uncultured Paraglomus. RNAcentral describes it as "SSU rRNA". It matches the Rfam family "Eukaryotic small subunit ribosomal RNA", at positions 591 to 1092 of the family's 1831-position model. The record is from RNAcentral. Lineage: Eukaryota; Fungi; Glomeromycota; Glomeromycetes; Paraglomerales; Paraglomeraceae.